AGAAUCAACGCUGGCGGCGUGCCUAACACAUGCAAGUCGAACGAGAAAGUGGAGCAAUCCAUGAGUAAAGUGGCGACCGGGUGAGUAACACGUGACUAACCUACCUUCGAGUGGGGGAUAACCUCGGGAAACCGAGGCUAAUACCGCAUAACAUCGUGAGAUCAAAGCAGUAAUGCGCUGGAAGAGGGGGUCGCGGCUGAUUAGCUAGUUGGCGGGUAAUGGCCCACAAGGCGAAGAUCGGUAGCCGGCCUGAGAGGGCGCACGGCCACACUGGAACUGAAACACGGUCCAGACUCCUACGGGAGGCAGCAGUGGGGAAUUUUGCGCAAUGGGGGAAACCCUGACGCAGCAACGCCGCGUGGAGGAUGAAGUCCCUUGGGACGUAAACUCCUUUCGACCAAGACGAUAAUGACGGUACUGGUGGAAGAAGCACCGGCUAACUCUGUGCCAGCAGCCGC
RNAcentral lists this ribosomal RNA (458 nucleotides) under uncultured bacterium. RNAcentral's name for it is "SSU rRNA". It matches the Rfam family "Bacterial small subunit ribosomal RNA", at positions 26 to 518 of the family's 1533-position model. The record is from RNAcentral.